Molecule: RNA transcript, 555 nt
Organism: Odobenus rosmarus divergens (Pacific walrus)
Lineage: Eukaryota; Metazoa; Chordata; Mammalia; Carnivora; Odobenidae
Gene name: glyceraldehyde-3-phosphate dehydrogenase-like
Exons: 2
Source: RefSeq, a predicted model, not a curated record
AUGCUGGUGCUGAAUUAUCAGCAAUGCCUCCUACACCACCAACUGCUUGGCCCUCUGGCCAAGGUCAUCCAUGACAACUUUGGCAUCGUGGAGGGACUCAUGACCACAGUCCAUGCCAUCACUGCCACCCAGAAGAAGUAGUCCCUCUGGGAAGCUGUGGCGUGAUGGCCAAGGGGCUGCCCAGAACAUCAUCCCUGCUUCUACUGGUACCACCAAGGCUGUAGGCAAGUUCACCCCAAGCUGAAUGGGAAGCUCACCGGCAUGACCUUCUGUGUCCCUGCCCCCAAAGUGUCAGUUAUGGAUCUGACCUGCUCCCUGCAGAGAGUUGCCAAAUAUGAUGACAUCAAGAAGGUAGGGAAGCAGGCAUCCUGGGCCACACUGAGGACUAGGUUGUUUCCUGCAACUAACAAUGACACCCACUCUUCCACCUUUGAUGCUGGGGCUGGCAUUGCUCUCAAUGACCACUUUGUCAAGCUCACUUCCUGGUAUGACGAUGAAUUUGGCUACAGCAACUCGGCAGCAGACUUUACGGUCUACGUGGCCUCCAAGGAGUAA